UCUCCGUUGGUGAACCAGCGGAGGGAUCAUUACUGAGUCUACGAACUCCCAACCAUUGUGAACAUACCCUACGUUGCUUCGGCGGUCACGCCCCGGGACGCGCGCUCCGGCGCCGUGCUCCCGGGCCAAGGCGUCCGCCGGAGGCCCCAAACUACACUGCAACUAUGGAUCUAUCUGAGUGGCAUAAGCAAAUAAAUCAAAACUUUCAGCAACGGAUCUCUUGGUUCUG
Molecule: unclassified non-coding RNA, 229 nt
Filed under: uncultured fungus
Lineage: Eukaryota; Fungi
Also listed under: 1 other name
Description: partial contains small subunit ribosomal RNA, internal transcribed spacer 1, and 5.8S ribosomal RNA
Source: RNAcentral